GGCUAACCCGUCUCUGUGGCAAAAGAGUGGGAAGAGCUCCGGGUAGAAGUGACAGACCUACCGAACCUGGUGAUAGCUGGUUGCCUAAGAAAUGGAUAGAAGUUCAGCCUCGCACACCCCGAAUCAAAGAUCNAAUACACAUCAACAAGAUACUAAGGGAAAAGCACGAGAGUUAGUUGAAGGGGGUACAGCCCCUUUAACAAAGGANACAACUUNGCAGGAGGAUAAAGAUCAUAAUAUAU
This 242-nucleotide ribosomal RNA is filed under the name Campostoma anomalum (central stoneroller). Its description in RNAcentral is "partial 16S ribosomal RNA". It matches the Rfam family "Bacterial large subunit ribosomal RNA", at positions 773 to 1056 of the family's 2925-position model. Lineage: Eukaryota; Metazoa; Chordata; Actinopteri; Cypriniformes; Leuciscidae. The record is from RNAcentral.